Molecule: ribosomal RNA, 581 nt
Filed under: Helicogloea aquilonia
Lineage: Eukaryota; Fungi; Basidiomycota; Atractiellomycetes; Atractiellales; Helicogloeaceae
Description: partial large subunit ribosomal RNA
Rfam family: Eukaryotic large subunit ribosomal RNA
Source: RNAcentral
CCCUAGUAACGGCGAGUGAAGCGGGAAGAGCUCAAAUUUGUAAUCUGGCUGCUUUGCAGUCCGAGUUGUAAGCUAGAGAAGUGUUAUCUGCGCUGGACCACGUAUGAGUCUGUUGGAAUAUAGUGUCAAAGAGGGUGAGAACCCCGUUCGUGAUGUGGACUACCAGUGCUUUGUGUUACACUCUCAAAGAGUCGAGUUGUUUGGGAAUGCAGCUCAAAUUGGGUGGUAAAUUCCAUCUAAAGCUAAAUAUUGGCGGGAGACCGAUAGCGAACAAGUACCGUGAGGGAAAGAUGAAAAGCACUUUGGAAAGAGAGUCAAACAGUACGUGAAAUUGUUGAAAGGGAAACGCUUGAAGUCAGACAUGCUUGCGGGGUUCAGUCUACCGGAUUUACUCCUCCGCUUUGCAGGCUAGCAUCAGUUCUGUGGAUUGGAUAAGGGCUUGGGGAAGGUGGCAUCUUCGGGUGUGUUAUAGCCUCUUGCUUGAUGCAGUUCAUGGGACUGAGGAUCGCAGCGCGCCUUUUGGCAUUGGCUUCGGCCUUUCCGCGCUUAGGAUGCUGGUGUAAUGGCUUUAAAACGACCCG